GACGAACGCUGGCGGCGUGCCUAAUACAUGCAAGUAGAACGCACAGUUUAUACCGUAGCUUGCUACACCAUAGACUGUGAGUUGCGAACGGGUGAGUAACGCGUAGGUAACCUGCCUGGUAGCGGGGGAUAACUAUUGGAAACGAUAGCUAAUACCGCAUAAUAUUAAUUAUUGCAUGAUAAUUAAUUGAAAGGUGCAAUUGCACCACUACCAGAUGGACCUGCGUUGUAUUAGCUAGUAGGUGAGGUAACGGCUCACCUAGGCGACGAUACAUAGCCGACCUGAGAGGGUGAUCGGCCACACUGGGACUGAGACACGGCCCAGACUCCUACGGGAGGCAGCAGUAGGGAAUCUUCGGCAAUGGACGAAAGUCUGACCGAGCAACGCCGCGUGAGUGAAGAAGGUUUUCGGAUCGUAAAGCUCUGUUGUAAGAGAAGAACGGGCGUGAGAGUGGAAAGUUCACACUGUGACGGUAGCUGACCAGAAAGGGACGGCUAACUACGUG
Molecule: ribosomal RNA, 505 nt
Filed under: uncultured bacterium
Lineage: Bacteria
Description: partial 16S ribosomal RNA
Rfam family: Bacterial small subunit ribosomal RNA
Source: RNAcentral